UAGGCAGCGUACUCAGUGGAGACAUUACCUAUCAUCGGUGUGGUCGCGGCCUCCGGGUUCUUCCCGGUUUUGUAGAGGUUAACUCUCACGCGCCACGCGUUUGAAUCCUUUUUUUACGAGCACCUUUCGUUCUCCUUCGGUGGGGCAACCUGCCGUUGGAAUCAUACAAAAACCUUUUUUGCAUCUAGGAUUACCUGUUCCGAUAACAAACAAUCGUUACAACUUUCAACAAUGGAUCUCUUGGCUCUGGCAUCGAUGAAGAACGCAGCGAAAUGCGAUAAGUAGUGUGAAUUGCAGAAUUCAUUGAAUCAUCAAAUCUUUGAACGCACAUUGCGCCCCUUGGUAUUCCAUGGGGCAUGCCUGUUCGAGCGUCAUCUACACCCUCAAGCUCUGCUUGGUGUUGGGCGUCUGUCCCGCCUCGGCGCGCGGACUCGCCCCAAAUUCAUUGGCAGCGGUCUUUGCCUCCUCUCGCGCAGCACAUUGCGCUUCUCGAGGUGUUUGCGGGGCCCGCGUCCACGAAGCAUUACCAGUCUUUGACCUCGGAUCAGGUAGGGAUACCCGCUGAACUUAAGCAUAUCAAUAAGCUGCAGAA
This 592-nucleotide ribosomal RNA is filed under the name Paraconiothyrium sp. 1-04. Its description in RNAcentral is "eukaryotic LSU rRNA". The stretch from base 221 to 374 matches the Rfam family "5.8S ribosomal RNA". The record is from RNAcentral. Lineage: Eukaryota; Fungi; Ascomycota; Dothideomycetes; Pleosporales; Didymosphaeriaceae.